CAGUCGCCGCUGGAAUACGGAGGGUGCAAGCGUUAAUCGGAAUUACUGGGCGUAAAGCGCACGCAGGCGGUCUGACAAGUCAGAUGUGAAAUCCCCGGGCUUAACCUGGGAACUGCAUUUGAAACUGUCAGGCUGGAGUCUUGUAGAGGGGGGUGGAAUUCCAGGUGUAGCGGUGAAAUGCGUAGAGAUCUGGAGGAAUACCGGUGGCGAAGGCGGCCCCCUGGACAAAGACUGACGCUCAGGUGCGAAAGCGUGGGGAGCAAACAGGAUUAGAUACCCGGGUAGUCCCUGUCUCUUAUAC
This 301-nucleotide ribosomal RNA is filed under the name uncultured bacterium. RNAcentral's name for it is "partial 16S ribosomal RNA". It matches the Rfam family "Bacterial small subunit ribosomal RNA", at positions 509 to 807 of the family's 1533-position model. The record is from RNAcentral.